RNAcentral lists this ribosomal RNA (247 nucleotides) under uncultured bacterium. Its description in RNAcentral is "partial 16S ribosomal RNA". It matches the Rfam family "Bacterial small subunit ribosomal RNA", at positions 523 to 769 of the family's 1533-position model. The record is from RNAcentral.
AUACGGAGGAUGCAAGCGUUAUCCGGAUUCAUUGGGUUUAAAGGGUGCGCAGGCGGAUUGGUAGGUCAGGGGUGAAAUCCCACAGCUCAACUGUGGAACUGCCUUUGAUACUGUCAGUCUAGAGUAUAGUUGAAGUGGGCGGAAUGUGUCAUGUAGCGGUGAAAUGCUUAGAUAUGACACAGAACACCGAUCGCGAAGGCAGCUCGCUAAGCUAUAACUGACGCUCAUGCACGAAAGCGUGGGGAUC